Molecule: unclassified non-coding RNA, 522 nt
Filed under: Hevea brasiliensis (rubber tree)
Lineage: Eukaryota; Viridiplantae; Streptophyta; Magnoliopsida; Malpighiales; Euphorbiaceae
Source: RNAcentral
AAGCAAUUGACCUUGCUUCACGUCUGCUUCAGUAUUCUCCUAGUCUUCGCUGCACAGCUCUAGAAGCAUGUGCACAUCCUUUCUUUGAUGAGCUACGGGAGCCCAAUGUUCGCCUCCCUAACAAUCGUCCAUUACCCCCUCUAUUCAACUUUAAGCAAGAAUUAGCUGGAGCAUCCCCGGAACUGAUCAGCAGGCUGCUACCGGAGUACGUGCGAAGACAGAUUGGUCUUAGUUUUCAACAUCAGGCAAGUACAUAAAAUGAAGACACAAAUCAAUAUAUAAGUUCCGUUUACUGGGUGGAUGGAUAAAAUGCAAACACAAAAGCUCCUUGCAGUCUAGAUAAAACCAAGUAGUUUCUUGGCCGAACUCUGCCCCUGAGAAGAUUUACAAACGUACCACUGGCUGUUUGGCUUAGCGUGCAAAAUGGUGAUCAACUACUUUAUUUUAGCCAAUACAUAUUGAUUUUGUAUUCCCCAUGUCUAGAAUUUUUUGUUUUUCCUUUUUCGAUCCAUAAAAUCGGAG